Molecule: ribosomal RNA, 460 nt
Filed under: uncultured bacterium
Lineage: Bacteria
Description: partial 16S ribosomal RNA
Rfam family: Bacterial small subunit ribosomal RNA
Source: RNAcentral
CCUACGGGGGGCAGCAGUGAGGAAUAUUGGUCAAUGGACGAGAGUCUGAACCAGCCAAGUCGCGUGAAGGAUGACUGCCCUAUGGGUUGUAAACUUCUUUUAUAUGGGAGUAAAAUGUUCCUCGGGAGGGGUAUUGUGUGUACCAUAUGAAUAAGGAUCGGCUAACUCCGUGCCAGCAGCCGCGGUAAUACGGAGGAUCCGAGCGUUAUCCGGAUUUAUUGGGUUUAAAGGGUGCGUAGGGGGAUUGUUAAGUCAGUUGUGAAAGUUUGGGGCUCAACCGUGACAGUGCAGUUGAAACUGGCAGGCUUGAGUACAGGAGAGGUGGGCGGAAUUCGUGGUGUAGCGGUGAAAUGUUUAGAUAUCACGAAGAACUCCGAUUGCGAAGGCAGUUCACUGGACUGCAACUGACACUGAGGCACGAAAGUGUGGGUAUCAAACAGGAUUAGAUACCCCAGUAGUC